AUGAAGCAGGACGACGGCAAGUGGAAGGCGGCCACGAAGCAGUACAAGGCCCUGUUGCCCGCGUUGGGGAGCGACAAGGUGCUGAACGUCAUGGACAUGAGCACCGUCUACGGAGGGCUCGCGGCGAGCCUCGUCAAGGACCCCGUGUGCGUCAUGAACGUGGUCUCCUCCUACGGGCCCAACUCCCUCGGCGUCGUCUAUGACAGAGGACUCAUCGGCACCAACCCACGCAUUACCUCUUCUCCCAACUGCAUCCUGCUCGCCGUCAGAUGUUUAGCAUUCCCGUUACUAGAAUUGAAUUAA
Molecule: ribosomal RNA, 303 nt
Filed under: Triticum aestivum (bread wheat)
Lineage: Eukaryota; Viridiplantae; Streptophyta; Magnoliopsida; Poales; Poaceae
Description: partial small subunit ribosomal RNA
Source: RNAcentral